GACGAACGCUGGCGGCGCGCUUAAUACAUGCAAGUCGAGCGAGAACCAGUCCUUCGGGACUGGGGAAAGCGGCGAACGGGUGAGUAACACGUGGGUAAUCUGCCCUCGGCACUGGGAUAGCCCGGGGAAACCCGGAUUAAUACCGGAUAGCCUUUCGAGCCUUCGGGCUCGUCAGGAAAGGUGGCUUCGGCUUCCGGCUGAGGAUGAGCCCGCGGCGGAUUAGCUUGUUGGUGAGGUAAUGGCUCACCAAGGCUCCGAUCUGUAGCUGGUCUGAGAGGACGAUCAGCCACACUGGGACUGAGACACGGCCCAGACUCCUACGGGUGGCUG
RNAcentral lists this ribosomal RNA (330 nucleotides) under uncultured Actinomycetes bacterium. RNAcentral's name for it is "bacterial SSU rRNA". It matches the Rfam family "Bacterial small subunit ribosomal RNA", at positions 28 to 351 of the family's 1533-position model. The record is from RNAcentral. Lineage: Bacteria; Bacillati; Actinomycetota; Actinomycetes.